This 875-nucleotide long non-coding RNA is filed under the name Anser brachyrhynchus (Pink-footed goose). Its description in RNAcentral is "lncRNA (ENSABRG00000009045.1)". Lineage: Eukaryota; Metazoa; Chordata; Aves; Anseriformes; Anatidae. The record is from RNAcentral.
GCAUAAUAUACCAACUAGAUUGAACAAACGAAGGCAAUAUUCUGAAUAACAUCAUUCUCACAGUUAAACGUCAGUUUCAAAGCAGGGCAUUUGAAGACAUAAAAGCAAAAGUGAAACAGUUGAAUCAUUUCUAAGUUCCCCUGAUUAUCUUCGAAUUUGUUUGAGGUGAAUAUCACAUGUCCCUUGCUGCAAUUAAGAAAAGUCUAUUUGAUUCCUGAAGCAACAAGGUUGUUCAUCACUGAUGUAAAAUUGUAGCUAUAUCAGGCUAUUGGUCCAUAAUAAAACAUAGAGAGAAAAAGUUGCAAAAGAGAGUUGUCCAAAAUUGCUACUAUGGAUCCUGUCUGCAGAGAACGUACAGCGCUGCUAAGACAUGCACAUCCUUCUGAACUCUGGUUCUCUAUUCAUCUUGUGAAGAAAAGGAUGAAGCUGUCCAGCUCUUCUGUUCAUUGCGAAUCAAGAAUGAGUAAGACACUCUGCUCUAAAGUGGUUGUGAUGCAUAUUUUGAGUGGCAGAAGAGACCCUCCAGGGUUUCUAGCAGACAACAGAAGUGGACAGGCUCAGAAUCAUCAAAGGGAAGAACAAGAAUGUACAAAGAAAUGGCAUUAUGAUCAAGAGAUGCAAUUUCACAAAAUGAUGCCUAUACCUUUUUUUUUUUGAAGAUUCUCAGGCACCAGGCAGCUGAAACCAUUGAAGACUGGUUUGAAGACAAGCAGACCUGAAGUACAAGAAAGGCACAUGUGGGAAAAAUUAUUUCACUCGUUCUUUUGGGGAUAUACUCUGGAACUGCACAAUGUGCAAUAGACCAAAACUGAAGAGAAGAGAGGGCAGCAGUUAUAACCUGAGCAAACACUGGGAACAUCGAAGAAAAAAGGCAG